This 506-nucleotide ribosomal RNA is filed under the name uncultured bacterium. Its description in RNAcentral is "partial 16S ribosomal RNA". It matches the Rfam family "Bacterial small subunit ribosomal RNA", at positions 29 to 523 of the family's 1533-position model. The record is from RNAcentral.
AUUGAACGCUGGCGGCAGGCCUAACACAUGCAAGUCGAGCGGCAGCGGAAAGUAGCUUGCUACUUUGCCGGCGAGCGGCGGACGGGUGAGUAAUGUCUGGGAAAUUGCCUGAUGGAGGGGGAUAACUACUGGAAACGGUAGCUAAUACCGCAUAACGUCGCAAGACCAAAGAGGGGGACCUUCGGGCCUCUUGCCAUCAGAUGUGCCCAGAUGGGAUUAGCUAGUAGGUGGGGUAACGGCUCACCUAGGCGACGAUCCCUAGCUGGUCUGAGAGGAGGACCAGACACACUGGAACGGGGACACGGUCCAGAUUACUACGGGAGGCAGAAGUGGGGAAUAUUGCACAAGGGGCGCAAGCCUGAUGCAGCCAUGCCGCGUGUAUGAAGAAGGCCUUCGGGUUGUAAAGUACUUUCAGCGGGGAGGAAGGCGUUGUGGUUAAUAACCACAGCGAUUGACGUUACCCGCAGAAGAAGCACCGGCUAACUCCGUGCCAGCCGCCGCCGUAA